GCUCAGAACGAACGCUGGCGGCGUGCCUAACACAUGCAAGUCGAACGGAAGUAAGAAGCUUGCUUUUUACUUUAGUGGCGCACGGGUGAGUAACGCGUAGAUAAUCUGCCUGAUGAUUUGGGAUAACACUUCGAAAGGGGUGCUAAUACCGAAUAAGCCCACGGAGUCCUUGGACUCUGCGGGAAAAGGAGGGGACCUUCGGGCCUUCCGUCAUCAGAUGAGUCUGCGUACCAUUAGCUAGUUGGUAGGGUAAAGGCCUACCAAGGCGACGAUGGUUAGCUGGUCUGAGAGGAUGAUCAGCCACACUGGAACUGAGACACGGUCCAGACUCCUACGGGAGGCAGCAGUGGGGAAUUUUGCGCAAUGGGGGAAACCCUGACGCAGCAACGCCGCGUGAGUGAUGAAGGCCCUUGGGUCGUAAAGCUCUGACAGAGGGAAAGAAAUGUGGGUGGCUAAUAUCCAUUCCACUUGACGGUACCCUCAAAGGAAGCACCGGCUAACUCCGUGCCAGCAGCCGCGGUAAUACGGAGGGUGCGAGCGUUGUUCGGAUUUAUUGGGCGUAAAGCGCGUGUAGGCGGUUUUAUAAGUCUGAUGUGAAAGCCCCGGGCUCAACCUGGGAAGUGCAUUGGAUACUGUAAGGCUUGAAUACGGGAGAGGGCAGUGGAAUUCCUGGUGUAGGAGUGAAAUCCGUAGAUAUCAGGAGGAACACCGGUGGCGAAGGCGGCUGCCUGGACCGAUAUUGACGCUGAGACGCGAAAGCGUGGGUAGCAAACAGGAUUAGAUACCCUGGUAGUCCACGCCGUAAACGAUGAGUACUAGGUGUUGCGGGUAUUGACCCCUGCAGUGCCGCAGCUAACGCAUUAAGUACUCCGCCUGGGAAGUACGGUCGCAAGACUAAAACU
This 902-nucleotide ribosomal RNA is filed under the name uncultured bacterium. Its description in RNAcentral is "bacterial SSU rRNA". It matches the Rfam family "Bacterial small subunit ribosomal RNA", at positions 22 to 901 of the family's 1533-position model. The record is from RNAcentral.